CCUACGUGGGGCAGCAGUGGGGAAUAUUGGACAAUGGGGGGAACCCUGAUCCAGCGACGCCGCGUGAGUGAAGAAGUAUUUCGGUAUGUAAAGCUCUAUCAGCAGGGAAGAAAGAAAUGACGGUACCUGACUAAGAAGCCCCGGCUAACUACGUGCCAGCAGCCGCGGUAAUACGUAGGGGGCAAGCGUUAUCCGGAUUUACUGGGUGUAAAGGGAGCGUAGACGGCGAUGCAAGUCUGAAGUGAAAGGCGGGGGCCCAACCCCCGGACUGCUUUGGAAACUGUAUGGCUGGAGUGCAGGGGAGGUAAGUGGAAUUCCUAGUGUAGCGGUGAAAUGCGUAGAUAUUAGGAGGAACACCAGUGGCGAAGGCGGCUUACUGGACUGUAACUGACGUUGAGGCUCGAAAGCGUGGGGAGCAAACAGGAUUAGAUACCCUAGUAGUC
RNAcentral lists this ribosomal RNA (443 nucleotides) under uncultured bacterium. RNAcentral describes it as "partial 16S ribosomal RNA". It matches the Rfam family "Bacterial small subunit ribosomal RNA", at positions 338 to 795 of the family's 1533-position model. The record is from RNAcentral.